This 484-nucleotide ribosomal RNA is filed under the name uncultured bacterium. RNAcentral describes it as "partial 16S ribosomal RNA". It matches the Rfam family "Bacterial small subunit ribosomal RNA", at positions 30 to 507 of the family's 1533-position model. The record is from RNAcentral.
AUUGAACGCUGGCGGCAUGCUUUACACAUGCAAGUCGAACGGCAGCACGGGGGCAGCCCUGGUGGCGAGUGGCGAACGGGUGAGUAAUACAUCGGAACGUGCCCGGUCGUGGGGGAUAACGUAGCGAAAGUUACGCUAAUACCGCAUACGAUCUGAGGAUGAAAGCGGGGGACCUUCGGGCCUCGCGCGAUCGGAGCGGCCGAUGUCAGAUUAGGUAGUUGGUGGGGUAAAGGCCUACCAAGCCGACGAUCUGUAGCUGGUCUGAGAGGACGACCAGCCACACUGGAACUGAGACACGGCCCAGACUCCUACGGGAGGCAGCAGUGGGGAAUUUUGGACAAUGGGCGCAAGCCUGAUCCAGCCAUUCCGCGUGCAGGACGAAGGCCUUCGGGUUGUAAACUGCUUUUGUACGGGACGAAAAGGCUCUGGCUAAUACCUGGGGCUCAUGACGGUACCGUAAGAAUAAGCACCGGCUAACUACGUG